UUGUAUUCAAGUGAAAAGGGGCAAUUCCACCAAUGCCAGAAAAAAAAGGUUGUAUUGAAUGUUUUUCAAUCUCUUUGAGACUCUCUCGGGUAAGUUGUAUUUAAAGUUUUCAGUCUAUUUAUUACGGUCAUAUAGUAGUGUUGAAACACUUCUCAUUACAUGACUGAGCCAAGACAAUAGUCACAAGAAACAUGCAUCAACGUCCAAGAAACACCCUAUAACUUUAUUUUUUUUCACUUUUCCUCUUUUGUUUGAUGGAUGUAGUUUAAACUUUGAAAUUUAUUAUCACUCACGACAUUCAUAUCAUAUGUCGUUUUUCCUAAUUUUCGCAGGAAAUAUAUUUCAACCUUCAGACCAGUUCGAACUGGCUGAUUAGGAUCCUCGUUGGAUACAAUAGGUAAAUGGUUUUUAAUUGUUUUUCAAAAUAUUGUUAUGACACAUUACUUUAUAUUUAUUACUGUUCUGUUAUUGUAAAUUUUCUUGGAACUAAGGGCUUGAUAGUAGUAUCACAUGGCUGAGUAUUGUAUUGGUUUUGCUUCAUACUUUCAUUCAUGGCCUCUUUGGAAGCCCCAGCUUCGUUAAUUAUUAUUAAUCAUUAAUGAAUCUUGCAGAGUUGGUCUGGCGAUGUAUACUCAGGAAGCAGAUAAAGAAACUCGUGGCUAUUAUAUUAGGUUGCAUGUCAGCUGCAAUUUUAAUUGCAGAGGCUACUAUUCUGCCAAG
This 720-nucleotide long non-coding RNA is filed under the name Aquilegia coerulea. RNAcentral describes it as "long non-coding RNA (ACOE_LNC000702)". Lineage: Eukaryota; Viridiplantae; Streptophyta; Magnoliopsida; Ranunculales; Ranunculaceae. The record is from RNAcentral.